AUUGAACGCUGGCGGCAGGCCUAACACAUGCAAGUCGAACGAGUGGCGGACGGGUGAGUAAUGUCUGGGCAACUGCCUGAUGGAGGGGGAUAACUACUGGAAACGGUAGCUAAUACCGCAUACCAUCGGAUGUGCCCAGAUGGGAUUAGCUAGGUGGUGGGGUAACGGCUCACGAAGGCGACGAUCCCAUGCUGGUCUAAGAGGAAUACCAGCCACCCUGGAACUGAGAAACGGUGCAGACCCCGACGGGAGGAAGCAGUGGGCAAUAGUGACCAAAAGGCGCAAGCAUGAUGCAGCCAUGCCGAGUGUAUGAAGAAGGCCUUCGGGUUGUAAAGUACUUUCAGCGGGGAGGCGUUACCCGCAGAAGAAGCACCGGCUAACUCCGUGCCAGCAGCCGCGGUAAAU
This 405-nucleotide ribosomal RNA is filed under the name uncultured bacterium. Its description in RNAcentral is "partial 16S ribosomal RNA". It matches the Rfam family "Bacterial small subunit ribosomal RNA", at positions 29 to 525 of the family's 1533-position model. The record is from RNAcentral.